UCGAAUGACUAGACCAAUCCUCUCACCAAUGGCUUUAACCAAUUUCUUCUUAUAAAUAUAUCCUAGGAGACACGAAAGGCAUAUCCAAGCAACAACAUUAUGUGGAUACGGUUGUAUUAUUGAAAAAUUUUAUGUCCAUGGUUGUAUUGUCAGCUGUACAAGCCUAAUAAUGCCCGGGCCCAAACCCAAUAAACUAAACCAAAACCCAAUAGCUAAUUCCUAACCCAGGCCCGAAACUAAUGGAAAAGGGAAGGGUUGGGAAGCCCUAGCAACAGCCCUCGCCUCCAGCAGACUCUCCAGGCGCCGCACGUCUCGGGGCCGACCUCUCCACACGCGCCGUUUGCUCCACGAACGCCUGCAAAUGCGGACUCAAUGAGUCCGAAAGAAAAAAACAACAAGAAAUAACAUUAUUUCAUUAUUUUCUUUUUCUUUUUCUUUUUCGGGCUAUAAAAAGCCAUUUCUAAUCUGUAAAAUGGGGGUCGAAAAAUAUAUGCAAAGAUAUAGAGAGAAAAUACAGGAAUUAAACUUGUUUUUGCAUAGGCGAUUUCUUCUUUGUUUUGCUUUGCAGUGUCCAUCGUUUUUUACAUAUAUAUUGUUUUAUUCUCUUUUAUUUUCGUUUUAUUUCAUUUAAAACAAUAAAGAAAAGAAGGGAUCUUACCUCUUUCGUCAAAGUCCCCGGAUGGUUGCCAUCUCCGUCGCAAUCGGAGCGUUGGCACGAACGGCGGCGCAAAAUGGGUUAAAAGAGCCCUAACAGAGCAACUAUUUUUUUUAAAUGUUUGCUGUGGCUGUUGUUUUGAAGGAAAACUAAAGACUUUCUAAUUAGGGUUUUGGGUUGGUUUUUAUAGAGGGAAAAGUGACACCGUUUAAUGGCCUAGUGAUCCUUGCAUUUUGUCUUAAUGGCCUAAUUGUGCAUUGGGUCCUUCAUUCUUUUAUUGCUUUAAAAUCAAGUUUUUUUUUGUUUUUUAAUUCCCCUAGGAUUUAUUUCAUUUUCAAUCGGGUCUAUAAUUGAACGGCGUCGUUUUGGAGGGUAGGGAUUAAUUUCCCUUUUGAUCCCUCCUUAUUAUUCACGUGUUCGAUCAAGUUUGUCCGUUUUUUUACUUAUUUUCGAAUCUACCCCAUUUUUUUGUUUUUAAGUUCAAUUUAGUCCAUCUUUAGCCAUUUUUUUAUUAUUUCUUUUUUUUAUGUUUAUCAUUAUAGCAUUAUUUAUUAUUAUAUUAUUUACUAUCACUGUUAUCAUCAUUACUUCUAUCUUCAUACAUGCAUUAUCUUUUUUAUAAAUAAUACAUAUACGCAUGUUUUUUACUCGCAUAGUUUUUUUUUAUAAUAUAUAUAUAAUGCAUUUUAUGUAGAAUAUGUAUAGCUGCAUACAUUUUAUACACUUUUUUAUUUUCAUUUUAUUUCUUAACUUCUAUAUACAUAUAUAUGCAUUUCAUAAUUUCUUAAUAUAUUUUUUUUUCAUUUUUUAAAUACACAUAUUUUUUACAAAACAUAAAUAUCUUUUAUAUUUUAAUUCCAAAAAUAUUUGUUUACUUUACUUUCGUGGAUAUGUACAUAUACCUACUUUCAUAUAUACGUUUCAUCAUUUAUUUUCAUAUUUUUUUUACAUACAUAUAUAUAUACACAUAUGCAUACUUUUAUAUUUUUUUAUUUUUCACGAUUUUCAAACACAUAUACAUGCAUUUUUAUUGGUUUUUUAAUUGAUAUAUUCUAUUCCAUCUUUCCAUAUGUAUUCUUGUAUAUGUACGUUAAAUAUAUGCGUACACAUAUUUUCAAAUUUACUUGUAUAUUGUACUUGUAUAUAUAUUUGUAAAUACAUAUUCAUAUAUGUUUUAAAUUAAAGUUUUUGUUUCAUAUUAACAUACCUUUUGGGAAAUAUAUUUUGGUUUGUCGAAACAUCAAAAUUAUUUUUUUCUCUUGAUUCAAUCUUUUUUUGAAUAAAAGCAAUAUUCAAAGUUUGGGAUUUUCGAGGAAAUCGAGCCCUAACGUAUUGGGUUCCGAUUUUCUUUGUUAAUCUUAAAUAACCGAGAAUAUUCUUUAUUCAAAAUACAUGAGUAUAAAAAUCACUUUCGGGAACUUAACUUGUUGUGUCCUAACGUAUUGGGUGUGACAUGUUAUUUUCUCUAAAUGAAGAUUUUCAUAUAAAAUAAAGUGAUAUUCAAAGUUCGGGGAUUAUGAAGAAUUGUACCCUAACGUAUUGGGACUCGAUUUCUUUACAUGACUUGAACAAUUAAUUAUCCUUUUUCAAAUUCCAUCGUUUGAGUUGAUUUUUAAAUUUUUUUUAACCUUCGACACUAAGACAUCAAAUAAUCAAUUUGGUGCCGAUUUUGGGCGUUACGAGUGUGCUAACCCUUCCUCGUGCGUAACUGACUCUCGAACUCGUUUUCUCAAAAUUCGUAGACCUAAAUAAUUUUUAAGGUGAGCCGAUCACACCUUAAUAAAGGAUUGGUGGCGACUCUAGUUUUAUUUUUUAAGUCGACAACUAGAUUUUUGUUUUUCAAAAAAACGAUUUCGACAGCUUGGCGACUCCACUGAAGACUUUGAGAGUCGAGCCAUAAACUGAUAGUAUUUGUCUUUGUGUCGAAAAUCAAAAGUUUUUAGAAAAUUUCAUGAGUUCCUUUCGCAUUCAUUGAUUUCUUUUUUUUCAUCUUGGUAUGUUGGUAGCUUUGCAUUUACAUUUUGCAUUGUACCCUUUAAGUGGGAGCGAGAAACUAGUCCUUCAUGAGGUUUUCACCUCCGUGCAGGGUAGUGGACCGUUUCCAGGAUGCAUCCGUACCUAUAUCUUCGUGAGAUUUUCAUCUCCGUGCAGCCAUAGGGAAAUGUAUCCCCUUGAACUGAACUUGAUCCAUAUGAGCCUAUAAUGGGUGAGGAUCGAGGAAUCUGCUGGUUCGGGUACCCUUACUCUAGAAACUAAACAUCAUAUAGUGAGCUUUAGGAACUUGACCUAGGUAGAACUAUCCCAAAACCCUAGUGGAUUCCAGAUUAACUGUUUCUUGCUAUUUCAUGCUUGUAUUGGAUUAUAUCUCUAUAUGUGAUACUGACUUGGGUUUCUUUUGUUUUGAUUGCAUGACAUCAUGAUUGCAUAGCAUUUCAUCCUAAAAGGGCGUUAGUUCAUAUUCGGUUGCUAAAUAGAAAGCUUAUCAUGGAGAAAGGGUUUCUUGAUAAGAUGGAAGAUAAUGCGGCUGUCCAAACUUGGUCUGAGACAACACAGCAAGAGAAAGGUGAUAGUUUGGCCGAGGGAUAUGUGUCAGAGUUGUGGGACUUCACUCGUGUUAGUGCGACUCAGAAUAGCCUACAUAAACUAAAGGAAAUUUGGGAAAGGUGGAAUGAUGAGGUUAAACAGCUCUUCUACUCUAGCUAUGGAGACCUACCUUACUUGCUCGACUUAAAGGUGGAUAAGCACUUAUUUCGUGCCUUAGCCCAAUUUUGGAAUCCUGCUUAUAGUUGCUUUACCUUUGGAAAAGUUGACUUAGUGCCUACGAUGGAGGAAUAUACGGCCUUGCUUCGUUUUUCAAAGAUCCAAGUAGAUAAAGCCUACUCGAGAGCUGCUAAUGUUCCAACCUUUUUGAAGAAAUUGAUGAAUAUUACGGGGAUGAGUGAGCAAUGGGCCGCAGCACGAAUCAAACAAAAGGGAGAUAGUAAAUGCAUUCCUUGGAAGAGCCUGAAGGAUUUAAUUCUAGCACACCCGGAUACGAGGAAGAAGGUUGAUGUCUUUGCCUUGGGUAUUUACGGUUUAGUUACCUUUCCCAAAGCCUUGGGACAUGUUGAUGAAGCAGUCACUGAUCUUUUCGAUCGACUUGGUAAAGGAGUUACACCGGUUCCAGCAAUUUUAGCAGACUCUUUCAGGUCACUGAACGAAUGCUGAAGAGUAGGUGAAGGAAGAUUCGUUGGAUGUGCGCAGCUUCUCUUGGCAUGGUUUCACAGUCACUUCUGGAAGGCUGAUAAAUUUUCCUAUCGAGUUUUUUUCUGAAACUUAUUCGCCUUUGAAAGAAAUAGUGGCGAUACCGAGGCAAGAUGGUGUUUUAGAAGAAAGAUGGAUUGCAAUUCUUCAGAAUCUUCAAGAGGAGAAUAUCGAGUGGAGAGCUCCUUGGAUGCUGCCAGAUGAGAUCUUGUAUAGGUGUGGAGAUUUCGAUAAGGUCCCUCUACUUGGGAUUUGGGGAGCUAUCGGCUAUGCACCGUUACUGGUAUUGAGACAGUAUAGAUCGAGGCAGUUCGUACCUACAACCCAAGGAUUAGCUCAAAGUGAAUUCUCGUAUAAGUAUGAUGGUUACAAGAAGAAGAUUCGAGAAAUGACAAAUGCUUAGAGGCAGACUCGACGAAUGAAGAGAUUGGCAGUAGUUCAUCGACGACUCUUGAAUAUAUCAAGUGGCUAGGUAGGAGGGUCAAUGAUAAUAUACCUGCACCAGGUCAAGGAGACAAUCAAUUAGUAGAAAAGCAUGUACAUGUAGUCCCUUCUGAGCUAGCAAUUAUAAAGCAAGAUUUUCAAAGAAGAAACUCAGAGCUCGAAAGGAAGAUAGAGCAAAUAGAAGAGGACAAGAUGAAUUUAAAGUUGGACAUAGAUGUUCAGAAGCUGGAAACCGAAGGUCUGAGAAAAGAAAAGUGCAAAGUCGAUGAAGAUUUGAAUAACUUGAAGACGGAUUAUAAGAGACUACGUAUGUCGAUGAGAACUGUUGGGUUGGGAAAAACCUCAGAGUAGUGGCGUCAAGAAGUUCAAGAAGCAAAAGGUCAAGGCUGAUAGGUGGGAAAAGAGAUUUCAGGAGGCUCAAAAGCAAAAUAAGUCCUUUGAGAGGAGUUUGUCAGAAAGUCGGAAUGAAAAGGAUGAAUUAAAAGCUAAGGUGGCCGAACUGGAUGAAACUAUUCAUCAAUAUCGAAAUCGCAAUGUUGUGAUGGAGUUGCAAGCAAGUUUGAGCAGGAUCGAGAAGAUGAAGAGAACAGUAGAAGGAUUAGAGAUGGCAUUACAGAACUGUGAAGUCAGGAUUGAACAUCUGGAAGCAAAUGAAGACCAUCAAAGUGAACAGCUUCACUAUCUCCAGGAUCAAAUUGCAAGAAGGGAUCACAUUAUGGGAGAAGCUGUGGUACAGAUUCAAGGGGUAGCUGAGCACCUGCAGACUUUAGCAAUACAAGCUGAUAUACUAAGUGUGAAGUACGAAUCAGAAUCAGAUCAGGGGCAGAAGUUGGCAUCAUUACUUAGGGAGAUUAAAGUUCUAAGUGUUAGGGCAAAGCCCUAUUUAUAGCCAUUUUAUGUAAAGAUCUCUAGUAAAGUUUUUUGAAUGGAAUUGAAUUAUAAUUAAUGCCUUUUUUGCAUUCAUCUCAUGCAUCGCAUCAUAUGUAUUAGCACCGCAUUAUAUGCAUUAAAGAUCUUUAUUUAAUCCUAAUAAGUCAAAAUCACUGCUCAGUUAACCUGGAAACCAACCAACCCAACACCGAUACGGCACUCGAGCAAAGACAAAAGAUAUGGAUCAGAGAUUGGAAAAACUCGAACAGUGUCAGAAGGAGAUGCAAGACCAACUUCAGCUACAGGUGCAGGAGCGGUUAGAUAAGAUGAAACAAGAGAUGUCUGAGAAGAUGCGAGAAUCCCAAGAAGAUAUAGUGGCAAAGUUAACCCAACUGAUAACUAAGGGAAGUGAUAAAGGAAAGGGCCCCAUGGCUAAUGUCGAUGAGGGAAAUGAUGAUGAACCUCUCUAUCCUCUAGGUUUCACCCCUCCACGUAUGCGAGCUCAAGUUGAAUACCCGCGCAAAUCUACUGUCACUAUCAUGCCUCAGCAGUUUCGGGCUGGUAUUUCAAACUUCCAAGCUGGACUGGGUUCUAAUCCUGAAAAUAAUCCUGUUAACUCUGCCAUUCCUGACUUUGAUGAAAUGGUUGAGAAGGAAAGAAUGAAGGAGGAGUUACUAAAACAGUUAGAGGAAAGGUGUAGGUGGCUCGAGGAGAAGUUCAAGGCGAUGAAGGUCACUGAGAGUUAUCGAAGCAUUGACGUAAAAGAGCUGAGUUUAGUGUCAGAUUUAGUACUCCCUCAUAAGUUUAAGAUGCCUGAAUUUGAAAAGUACAAUGGGACUAGCUGCCCAGAAGCUCACAUCACCAUGUUCUGCAGGCGAAUGGCGGGAUAUGUUAACAACGACCAACUCUUGAUACAUUGUUUCCAAGACAGCCUUGCUGGGGCAGCAUCCAAAUGGUACAAUCAGUUAAGUCGUGCCACGAUUGGUUCAUGGAGGGACUUGGCACAAUCGUUCAUGAAACAAUAUAAUCAUGUAACAGACAUGGCUCCUGAUAGAAUCACCCUUCUAAAUAUGGAGAAGAAGCCGAGUGAAAGCUUCAGGCAGUACGCACAGAGAUGGAGGGAGGUCGCGGUCCAAGUUCAGCCACCGCUCUUGGAAAAAGAAAUGACCAUGUUGUUCAUUAACACCCUGAAGGCACCGUUCAUUACACACAUGUUAGGAAGUGCUACAAAAAGCUUUCCUGACAUAGUCAUGAAUGGCGAGAUGAUUGAGAACGCCAUCAGGAGUGGGAAGAUUGAUGAAGGAGAGAGUAAUAGAAGAUCAACUUCGAAGAGGAAGGAAAACGAGGUGAACAACUCGAGCAUGUACAACAAGGGUUACUCGAAGUCAGUAACAGUGAGUUAGCCAGGAAAGGUGGCUGCCAAUCAGCAAAGCUCGUCGAGACAAGAGGUCGGUAUAAGGUGAAAUACUGAGAGGCCCCAAUUCACGCCAAUUCCUAUGUCGUACAGGGAACUAUACCGAAAUUUAUUUGACGCACACGUAGUUUCCCCUUUCUAUCUGAAGCCCUUGCAACCCCCGUAUCCCAAAUGGUACGAUGCGAAUGCACAGUGCGACUAUCAUGCGGGAACAACAAGGCAUUUCAUAGAAAACUGUACGACCUUUAAGAAGUUGGUUAAAAGGCUCAUUGGUAUGGGUGUCGUUAAAUUUAACUACUCGACCAAGGUAGGAAACCCGUUACCAAACCACACUGAUGGUGGGGUAAAUAUGAUGGGCGAAGACAGAAGAAUCAAGGCAGAAAUUACGGAUGUGAAAACUCUUUUGAGAUGGGUUUGAAAGGAAAUGGUGAAAAGGGGACUAAUCGUUUCAGAAGGAAGUUGUGAAAAGAGGGGGAACUACUGUGAGUUCCACCAUAAAGUGGGGCAUGAAAUCCAAGAGUGUACAGAGUUCAGAGCCAUGAUACAAGGUAUGAUGGAUAAUAGGGAGAUGGAAUUCUGUGAAUGAGUUCAAGAGGAGAGUCAUGUAUGCACGUCAGAGUUGGCAUUGGGAGUUCUGAAGGCUAACCAUCCUGUGGUCAUCAUCUCGCGACCUCAGAACAGUGAGGUUGGGGCAGAAAUAACACCAACAGUAAUCAUUCAAAAACUGGCUGUGUUUGCAUAUAAGGAUAACAGGGAGGUUCCUUGGAAUUACGAUUGUAAUGUGCAAUCCCGGGGAAGGAGGAUAUAAUCAGUAAAGAGGAUCAGAAUGAAGGAAGGCACUACGAACAGAUGAAGGCUCGAGUAGAGCCAAUAAGAAAAGAAGCUUCGGUUGGAAAGAAGAAGAAUACGGUCGAACCUAAAUUAUUGGUCAAUGAACCAAUCAAAGAGGAGGAAGCUAGAGAGUUCUUGAAGUUCCUAAAGCAUAGCGAGUACAGCGUUGUGGAACAACUGUACAAACAACCAGCUCGCAUAUCUAUGCUAGCUUUACUCCUGAACUCAGAGGGACAUCGAAAUGCACUACUGAAUGUGCUAAAUGAAACUUAUGUGGCUGACGAUAUCUCUGUUAACAAGUUGGGUCGACUGGUCGGUAAUAUAAGCGCUGAUAACUUCAUAUCCUUUAGCGAUGAUGAAAUACCACCUGGGGGUAUGGGAUCUACUAGAGCUUUACACAUCACUGCAAUGUGUAAAUGGUGCAUAUUACCAGGAGUUCUGGUAGACAACGGAUCGGCACUGAAUGUAUUGCCUCUAUCCACGCUCAACAGGCUACCUGUGGAUAGUUCACAUAUGAAGUCGUGCCAAAAUGUGGUGAGAGCAAUUGAUGGCACCGAGAGGAAAGUCAUGGGAAGAAUUGACAUACCCUUGUUAAUUGGCCCAACUAUCUAUGAGGUGGACUUCUUGGUAAUGGACAUCAACCCUUCUUACAGUUGUCUAUUAGGAAGGCCAUGGAUUCAUUCAGCAGGAGCGGUAUCAUCAUCGUUACAUCAAAAACUGAAGCUGGUGUCAGAAGGUCGGCUAGUGACGAUAAAUGCUGAAGAAGAUAUCAUUGCAUCUGUGACCAACGAUGCGCCUGAUUUGGAAACAAGUGAUGAUGCAAUCGAGUGCUCUUUUCAUUCCUUGGAGUUCGUAAAUGCAACAUUCAUCCUUGAGGAAAACAAGAUCCCGAUGUCGAGAAUAUCAAAGACCACAAAGAUGGGUCUGCAAUUGACAGUUGGAAAGGGAGCUUUGCCGAGAAAAAGAUUGGGGAAAUAUCUUCAGGGCCGAGUUGAGGCUCCAGUGUUGAAAGACAAGCAGGACCAUUUUGGCUUAGGAUACAAGCCAGAUGCUAGGCAGAAGAGGAUAGAGCAAGAGAAGAAGCGAGAGAGAAGAAGGGCUCGUUUGAUAGGUGAUCAAGUCAAAUGGGAGCCUAUGACCUUUCCUCACCUAUCUAAGACUUUUGUAUCGGGAGGAUUUAUCUAUCAAGGAAUGCUAGGAGUCGGAAGUAUUAACACGGAGUUAGAAAGUAUUCAUGCCGUGUAUGAAGAAGCGACGGGAGGAGGAACAUUGCAGGAUAUUCAACUUUACGAACCGAGAAGUGUGCUAAACAACUGGACUGCAGAAGAAAUACCUGUAGUUUUUAGGAUUUCCUCAGAGUAAUGUCCAGAACACCCUUAUUGCUUUUAGCCUAGAAGUGAUAAGGAUUCCUUUGUGAAAUAGGCUCAUGUCUAAAAAAUCGUUAUUUUAAUAAAGUUCAUUCUUGCAGUCAUUUUUGGAGCAAAUCUUUCUUUCUAUAAGAGCAGUUAUUUUGAAUUUCUCUCAAACUACACUUGCAUUUCAUUCAUGACCAUAUUGCACCAAAUAAAUUCCUGAAUCCAUAUUGUUUUUCAUAACAGGUCCUAUGAUAUCAAUGAUACGAAUGUCACUCUUACAAAUUUAGAGUCUCUUUUUGAACGAAACAUGUGUUUAGAAGGAUCGCAUGAUUUUGAAGAUGACGAAGACUGUGGUUUGUCUCCUGACUUGUUGAAGAUGGUAGAAAGGGCCGAGAAACAAAUCCUACCUCACAGGGAAUCAAUAGAAGUUGUGAGCUUGGAGGAAGGAAAAGAGGUGAAUAUCGGAUCUGAUAUUUCUGCAAAGAUAAGAUAAAACCUCAUCAGACUACUCCAGGAAUUCAAUGAUGUCUUUGCAUGGUCAUACCAAGAUAUGCCUGGGUUAAGUACGGACAUUGUAGUCCAUCGCCUUCCUAUAAAAGAAGAUUGCAAGCCAGUGCAGCAAAAGCUCAGAAGGAUGAGACCUGAUAUCGAGUUGAAUAUAAAAGAAGAGGUCCAGAAGCAGUUUGAUGCUGGAUUUCUGCAAGAAGUGAAGUAUUCUGAGUGGGUGGCCAACAUCGUACCAGUUCCAAAGAAAGAUGGGAAUGUACGAAUGUGUGUGGAUUACAGGGAUUUUAACAAGGCCAGUCCAAAAGACAGUUUCCCAUUACCUCACAUCGACACAUUGGUAGUCAAUACAGCGGACUUUUCAUUGUUUUCCUUCAUGGAUGGUUUUUCUGGGUAUAAUCAGAUAAAGAUGCAUCCCGAGGACAGGAGAAAGACUACGUUCAUUACGUUAUGGGGAACGUUUUGUUAUAAAGUGAUACCGUUUGGAUUAAAGAAUGCGAGAGCAACAUACCAAAGAGCCAUGGUAGCCUUAUUCCAUGAUAUGAUGCAUAAGGAGAUCGAGGUUUAUGUUGACGAUAUGAUCGCGAAAUCUAGAACGGAUGAGGAACAUGUGCAGGUCUUGAGAAAGUUAUUCUUAAGAUUGAGAAAGUUCCAGCUCAAGCUUAAUCCAGCGAAGUGCACUUUUGGGGCCAGGUCAGGAAAAUUGCUAGGCUUCAUAGUCAGUGAAAAGGGAAUCGAGAUUGACCCAGACAAAGUCAAGGCAAUAAGAGACUUACCUCCACCUCGCACUCAGAAAGAAGUUUGAGGUUUCCUCGGAAGACUGAAUUACAUCGCUAGGUUCAUUUCACAACUAACUGAGAAAUGUGACCCUAUAUUUUAUCUUUUGAAGAAACAUAAUCCUGGUACUUGGGAUGAAGAAUGCGAAGAAACUUUUAACAAGGUGAAGCAGUAUUUAUCUAAUACUCCAGUGCUAUCACCACCUAGCCCAGAUAGGCCGAUGAUAUUGUAUGUGAUAGUAUUUGAUAAUUCCAUGGGGUGUGUGCUAGGCCAACAUGAUGAAACGGGGAGAAAAGAAAGGGCGAUAUAUUAUCUCAGCAAGAAAUUCACUGACUGUGAAAUGAGAUAUUCGCCCAUUGAGAAGUUGUGUUGUGCCCUGAUUUGGACAACCCAAAGAUUAAGGCAGUACAUGUUAUACCAUACGACUUGGCUAAUCUCAAAGUUAGACCCGUUAAAGUAUAUGAUGGAUUCAACUGCUUUGAAUAGGAGGAUGGUCCGAUGGCAGAUUUUACUGUCUGAAUUUGAUAUCGUCUAUGUGAGUCAAAAAGCUGUAAAAGGGAGCGCAAUAACUGACUUUCUGGCUAGCAGGGCUUUGGAAGAUUACGAACCGUUAAGUUUUGAUUUUCCAAAUGAGGACUUGUUGUAUGUAGCUGCUAUUGAAGAAAAUCCCCAAGAACGUCACAGUUGGAAGCUAAACUUUGAUGGAGCCUCGAACGCUGUGGGCAAUAGAAUUGGGGCAGUCCUGGUGUCCCCGAAUGGUGAUCAUUAUCCUUUCACUUGCAAAUUGGAUUUUGAUUGUACAAACAACAUGGCAGAAUACGAAGCAUGCAUCAUGGGUAUUCGUGCAGCUAUAGAGCGAAGAACCAAAGUGCUAGAGGUCUAUGAAGAUUGAGUACUGGUGAUAUAUCAGCUUAGGGGUGAAUGGGAAACGAGAGAUCCCAAAUUAAUCAGUUAUCGAAAGUUGGUCCUCGAAUUGAUUAAGGAGUUUGAGGACAUCACUUUUUGCUAUCCCCUACGAGAUGAGAACCAGAUGGCUGAUGCACUAGCUACUUUAGCCUCUAUGAUCAAGGUGAACAAACAUGAGGAUAUGAAGCCUAUCCAAAUGAGUAUCUAUGAAAACCCAGCUCAUUGUUACAAUAUUGAAGAAGGAGAAAUCGAUGAUAGUCCUUGGUAUCAAGAUAUACUACGAUAUGUAAAAAAUCGUGAGUAUCUUGGCCAGGCAAUGGAGAAUGAAAAGAGAACUCUGAGAAGACUAGCCAUUGAUUACGUCUUAAAUGGGGAGAUCUUAUACAGGAGGGGAAAAGAUCAGGUACUGUUAAGAUGUGUGGACGCCGUAGAAGCAAAGAAAAUCCUGGAGGAAGUCCAUAAGGGCAUCUGUGGAACGCAUGCCAAUGGUUUCACAAUGGCUAGACAGAUUAUGAGAUUCGGGUAUUACUGUCCACCAUGGAAGGGGAUUGCAUCAAUUACUCCAAAAAGUGCCAUAAAUGUCAAAUCUAUGGUGAUAAAAUGCAUGCACCUCAUUCGCCUCUUCAUGUUAUGACUUCUCCAUGGCCUUUCUCCAUGUGGGGUAUGGAUGUCAUCGGGCCAAUAUCGCCGAAGGCUUCAAAUGGGCAUCGUUUCAUAUUUGUGGUUAUUGACUACUUCACCAAAUGGGUAGAAGCUGCUUCGUAUGCUAGCGUUACAAAGUCAUCAAUCAGUAAGUUCUUGAAAAAGGAGAUCAUAUGUCGAUAUGGAAUGCCUGAAAGAAUCAUAUCCGACAAUGCGCUGAACCUGAACAACAGCUAAAUAGUAGAAGUCUGCAGUCAAUUCAAGAUUAGACAUCACAAUUUAUCGCCGUAUUGCCCAAAAAUGAAUGGUGCAGUGGAAGCGGGUAAUAAAAAUAUAAAAAAGAUUGUGGGGAAGAUGACUGAGACUUACAGGGACUGGCACGAGAAAUUAUCGUUUGCCCUCCUUACUUAUCGAACGUCAAUCAGGACCUCCACCGGGGCAACGCCUUUCUCCUUAGUUUAUGGCAUGGAAGUAGUCUUGCCUAUCGAAGUUGAAAUCCCUUCUCUCCGGGUUUUGACUGAGCUACAAUUGGAUGAAGCAGAAUGGGUUCAAUCUCGAUACGAUCAGUUGAACUUGAUAGAGGGAAAAAGGCUAAAGACUAUUUAGCAUGGUCAGAUGUAACAGAAAAGAAUGAUGCGAGCCUACAACAAGAAGGUCCGACCUAGAGAAUUUCACGAUGGGGACCUGGUGUUGAGAAAAAUUCUUCCUCUACAAAAAGAUUUUAGGGGGAAAUAGAUGCCGAAUUGGGAAGGUCCUUAUGUUGUAAAAAAGGCCUUUUCUGGAGGAGCCCUAAUCUUGGCUGAAAUGGAUGGAAGAAACUUGCCUAAUCCAGUAAAUUCAGAUUCGGUCAAGAGAUACUUUACUUGAAGAAGGGAAGGAACCAAGGUGAAAACCCGCAAAGGGCGCUUUGAUUCCAAAAAAAAUAAAAAAAUAAAAUAAAAUGGAGAGGCUAGGGUGAAAACCCGCAAAGAGCACCUUAAGACCAAAGGGGUUUGAGUUGAAAACCUGACAAGGGCGGCUCAAAGUCUGAUUGAAGCACGUGGUAGUCUUGUUGUACCUAAAUCGGCAGAAAGGAAUAGAUGACAUCUUGGGGCAUCAACAAAAUACUAUGAAUCUCAUAAACACGUGUUAAAUUCAGAAGGGUCCUCAGAAAGUUGUAUAGAGCAAUUCAAGCAAAGAUAUCUGGGGCAGUUGUCCAUAAUUUGUGUUUCUAAAACACUUCAUUCUUUUUCAAUAUAAGUGUUUUAGUCAAUUUCCUUUUUUUUUUGACUUGUUUUCAUUGAUAAUUUAUUGCAAGUUAUGAUCUCAAGUCAAUUUCGUUUUAUCUAUCAUUAUGAUCUUUUCAAAAGCAUGUUGCAUUAGAAUAACGAUUAAUGGACUAAUAAAACUUUCACAAGGAAAGUUUUUCAUAUUACUCUGGAAAUUUCUAAAUAAUACAAGAACCUGAAGCAGGACUAUUGUUUAGACUUCACCGGGUUAAAAGGUCGAAGAUAUAUAGGAGUAAAAAGCCGAAUCAAGAAUUUUUGAGUUUUUUUCGAAGCGUUGUUAUGACAAAGGAAGCCUUAAUGUGUAAUAACGACUUCAAUAUUUAGCGUUAAUGAAUCAUUUUCAUGACAUAGCAUUUAGAUGUCAUUCAUACAUGCCUAGUUAAGAGCAUGUGAUCCAUUCCAAUCAUGAUAUCCUAAUCACUAGGCAUAAUUAGGUUUAUCAUACAGGUCAUGUUCCACAGAGAACAGGUCGGUGGAAUCAUAAAACCUUAUCUCCUUGAGCAGCAGUGGAGCAGGUUGAAAGAUAACAGAUAUUGUCUUCAUGUACUAGCGUGAAGUACAUCAGAGAUACCAGAUCUUGCCUUCCCAUACUGGUGGCGAAGCUGGUUGAAAGAUAACAGAUCUUGUCUUCAUGUACUGGCGUGAAGUAGAUCAGAGAUACCAGAUCUUGCCUUCCCAUACUGGUGGCGAAGCAGGUCAAAGAAAACAGAUCUUGUCUUCAUGUACUGGCGUGAAGUACAUCAGAGAUACCAGAUCUUGCCUUCCCAUACUGGUGGCGAAGCAGGUCAAAGAAAGAAGAUCUUGUCUUCAUGUACUGGCGUGAAGUAGAUCAGAGAUACCAGAUCUUGCCUUCCCAUACUGGUGGCGAAGCAGGUCAAAGAAAGCAGAUUUUGUCUUCAUGUACUGGCGUGAAGUAGAUCAGAGAUACCAGAUCUUGCCUUCCCAUACUGGUGGCGAAGCAGGUCAAAGAAAGCAGAUAUUGUCUUCAAGUACUGGCGUGAAGUAGAUUAGAGAUACCAGAUCUUGCCUUCCCAUACUGGUGGCGAAGCAGGUCAAAUAAAGCAGAUCUUGUCUUCAUGUACUGGCGUGAAGUAGAUCAGAGAUACCAGAUCUUGCCUUCCCAUACUGGUGGCGAAGCAGGUCAAAGAAAGCAGAUCUUAUCUUCAUGUACUAGCGUGAAGUAGAUCAGAGAUACCAGAUCUUGCCUUCCCAUACUGGUGGCGAAGUAGGUCAAAAAAAGCAGACCUUGUCUUCAUGUACUGGCGUGAAGUAGAUCAGAGAUACCAGAUCUUGCCUUCCCAUACUGGUGGCGAAGCAAGUCAAAGAAAACAGAUCUUGUCUUCAUGUACUGGCUUGAAGUAGAUCAGAGAUACCAGAUCUUGCCUUCCCAUACUGGUGGCGAAGCAGGUCAAAGAAAGCAGAUCUUGUCUUCAUGUACUGGCGUGAAGUAGAUCAGAGAUAACAGAUCUUGCCUUCCCAUACUGGUGGCGAAGCAGAUCGAAGAAAACAGAUCUUACCUUCCCAUACUGGUGCCGAAGCAGAUCGAAGAAAACAGAUCUUGUCUUCAUGUACUGGCAUGAAGUAGAUCAAAGAUAAUAGAUCUUGCCUUCCCAUACUGGUGGCGAAACAGAUCGAAGAAAACAGAUCUUGUCUUCAUGUAUUGGCGUGAAGUAGAUCAAAGAUAACAGAUCUUGUCUUUCCAUACUGGUGGUGAAACAGAUCGAAGAAAGCAGAUCUUAUCUUCAUGUACUGGCGUGAAGUAGAUCAAAGGUAACAGAUCUUGUCUUCCCAUACUGGUGGCGAAACAGAUCGAAGAAAGCAGAUCUUGUCUUCAUGUACUGGCGUGAAGUAGAUCAAAGGUAACAUAUCUUGUCUUCCCAUACUGGUGGCGAAGUAGAUCGAAGGAAAAAGCGGAUCUUAUCUUCAUGUACUGUCGUGAAGUAGAUCAAAGAUAACAGACCUUGUCUUCCCAUACUGGUGGCGAAGUAGAUCGAAGAAAGUAGAUCUUGUCUUCAUGUAUUGGCGUGAAGUAGAUCGAAGAAAGCGGAUCUUGUCUUCAUGUAUUGGCGUGAAGUAGAUCGAAGAAAGCGGAUCUUAUCUUCAUGUAUUGGCAUGAAGUAGAUCGAGGAAAGCAGAUCUUGUCUUCAUGUAUUGGUGUGAAGUAGAUCGAAGAAAGCAAAUCUUGUCUUCAUGUAUUGGCGUGAAGUAGAUCGAAGAAAGCAGAUCUUGUCUUCAUGUAUUGGCAUGAAGUAGAUCAAAGAGAGCAGAUCUUGUCUUCCCAUAUUGGUGGCGAAGUAGAUCGAAGAUACAAGUCUUAUCCCCCUGAAGUUGCAGUGGACCAGACAGAAAUAACCGAUCCUAUCUCCUUGGAAUUGCAAUGGAGUAGAUUAAAAUCACAGAUCUCAUCUCUCUGAAAUUGCAGUUGAGCAGAUCGCAUCCGAUUUAUCUUUAAGUCGUAGCAGAACAAGUCGAAGUUAUAAGUCUUAUCUCCCUGAAGAUACAGUGGAGCAGAUUAAAGAUAGCAAAUUUUGUUCUUUCGAGACGCUAUAACAUAUGAAUCUUAUUUCCCCGACAUUGUAAUGGGGUAGAUCGAAGCACCAGUUCCUAUACAUCUGAAGAUACAGUAGGAGGGAAUGUGGUUACUUGAAGAAGAAAAGCACUGAAGAAGGCGAGGCUCAGUAAGACCGGGUACAAUCGGGCUUUUAGUCUUUGCUCUACUCCCGUUACACGACAAUGAGCAAAGAGGGGCAGCUGUACAAGCCCAAUAAUGCCCGGGCCCAAACCCAAUAAACUAAACCAAAACCCAAUAGCUAAUUCCUAACCCAGGCCCGAAACUAAUGGAAAAUGGAAGGGUUGGGAAGCCCUAGCAGCAGCCCCCGCCUCCAGCAGACUCUCCAGGCGCCGCACGUCUCGGGGCCGACCUCUCCACACGCGCCAUUUGCUCCACGAACGCCUGCAAACGCGGACUCAAUGAGUCCGAAAGAAAAAAACAACAAGAAAUAACAUUAUUUCAUUAUUUUCUUUUUCUUUUUCGGGCUAUAAAAAGCCAUUUCUAAUCUGUAAAAUGGGGGUCGAAAAAUAUAUGCAAAGAUAUAGAGAGAAAAUACAAGAAUUAAACUUGUUUUUGCAUAGGUGAUUUCUUCUUUGUUUUGCUUUGCAGUGUCCAUCGUUUUUUACAUAUAUAUAGUUUUAUUCUCUUUUAUUUUCGUUUUAUUUCAUUUAAAAUAAUAAAGAAAAGAAGGGAUCUUACCUCUUUCGUCAAAGUCCCCGGAUGGUUGCCAUCUCCGUCGCAAUCGGAGCGUUGGCACGAACGGCGGCGCAAAAUGGGUUAAAAGAGCCCUAGCAGAGCAACUAUUCUUUUUUUUUAAAUGUUUGCUGUGGCUGUUGUUUUGAAGGAAAAC
Molecule: long non-coding RNA, 16310 nt
Filed under: Gossypium barbadense (sea-island cotton)
Lineage: Eukaryota; Viridiplantae; Streptophyta; Magnoliopsida; Malvales; Malvaceae
Description: long non-coding RNA (GBAR_LNC022614)
Source: RNAcentral